Long non-coding RNA from Quercus robur (English oak), 1153 nucleotides. RefSeq lists it as uncharacterized. The record is from RefSeq and is a predicted model, not a curated record. The transcript has 2 exons. Lineage: Eukaryota; Viridiplantae; Streptophyta; Magnoliopsida; Fagales; Fagaceae.
UUGCUCCCUACCACUCAAUUCCAAAGUAUCUCUUUCUCUCUUUGGCCAGCCACACAUUCUUUGUUCUUCUUUUCUUUUCAUUUUCUCUCAACACAACACACACACUCCUCUCCCUCACUCUCCUAUUGGUACACUCCACACCAACAUACACUUUAUUUUUCUGGUAAGGAUCACCGGAAAACUUCAUAGGAAAAGCUAAGGUUCACUCAUCACUACUAUUUGAGGUAAAUCCUUCAGUGUGUGGGUAAGGUUGCUGCCUACAGGGCCAAAAGACCACAUGCAAAAGGGGUAUUGUGCAACACGUAAUUCCCUACUACCCAUGGGGGGAAGAGGUAAAUCAUUGAGUGUGUGGGUGAGGCUAGGUAGGGCCAAGAGACCACAUGCAAAAGAGGUACUACAUGACGUGUUAUCCCCUACUGCCCAUGGAGGGGAUAGGUAAAUCCUUGAGGGUGUGGGUGAGGCUUGGCAGGGCCAAUAGACCACAUGCCAAAAGAGGUACAUAUCAUGCUAGUGUGUUUGGGCUCUAACUUGUUUAUGGCAGUAUGAUGUCUGGGUGAUAUCUCUGUCCUUGUUGCAUCUUAGGUGAGGUUUUCUAGUUUUGAAAUUUUAUUGGGUAUUUAUGGCUCACGGCGAAUGGAAUGUAGUUUCAUAAUUAUUUUUGGAAGCUUGAUACUAAACUAUUCCUAUCGUUCUUGUCAUAUGGUUAAUAAAAUUGUUUUUGCAUAAAUUAAAUGGAAAUUCUCAAAUUAUAACAUGUUUUGUAAAAUGUUCAUUACCAUGAAACUUGCAUUUUCCCCACCCUCAUUAAUUAUGCUGCAUACUGGGCUCUGUCUCAUCCCAUUAUUUUAUAAACUUUUCAGAGUAGACAAAAUCUUUUGAGACAACUUUUUGAUGGCUAACAGUAGUUAGACUAACUACUGAUGGAGGCUGAACUUUUGUGAUGGAGAUAUUAGACGAUGUACAUCUUAAAGUAGGCUUGACUCAUUCUUUUGUAUAUUAUAGUGGUUGUGACUUUAUUCCCAUUGAUGGGACAAGCUGGUAAUAUGUAAUUAUUUAUUUAGACCUCCAUUAUUUUGUGGCCAAUGGUCCUUGUAAUUAUUGCAUAGAGCUCUAACUUAUUUUGAGAAUAUAUUUAAUGGAAUUAUUAUGAUAA